This 623-nucleotide ribosomal RNA is filed under the name uncultured Actinomycetes bacterium. RNAcentral's name for it is "bacterial SSU rRNA". It matches the Rfam family "Bacterial small subunit ribosomal RNA", at positions 835 to 1461 of the family's 1533-position model. The record is from RNAcentral. Lineage: Bacteria; Bacillati; Actinomycetota; Actinomycetes.
CGGUUUGUGCGACGCAGCUAACGCAUUAAGCGCCCCGCCUGGGGAGUACGAUCGCAAGAUUAAAACUCAAAGGAAUUGACGGGGCUCCGCACAAGCAGCGGAGCAUGCGGCUUAAUUCGACGCAACGCGAAGAACCUUACCAAGGCUUGACAUAUACAGGAAUAUGGCAGAGAUGUCAUAGCCGCAAGGUCUGUAUACCGGUGGUGCAUGGUUGUCGUCAGCUCGUGUCGUGAGAUGUUGGGUUAAGUCCCGCAACGAGCGCAACCCUCGUUCUGUGUUGCCAGCAUUUAGUUGGGGACUCACAGGAGACUGCCGGGGUUAACUCGGAGGAAGGUGGGGAUGACGUCAAAUCAUCAUGCCCCUUAUGUCUUGGGCUGCACGCAUGCUACAAUGGCUGGUACAAACGGCUGCAAUACCGCAAGGUGGAGCGAAUCCGAGAAAGCCAGUCUCAGUUCGGAUUGGGGUCUGCAACUCGACCCCAUGAAGUCGGAGUUGCUAGUAAUCGUAGAUCAGCAACGCUACGGUGAAUACGUUCCCGGGGCUUGUACACACCGCCCGUCACAUCACGAAGUCGGUAACACCCAUAAGUCAGUGGCCCAACCGCAAGGAGGGAGCUGCCAAAG